ACUUAGCACUCUAGGUAGUAAUCAAACCAAUAUGUAUUGGCGGUCUUUAAAUAUUAGAGAAACUCGCUUUAUAAUCGUAAUUACCCGAUAAUUUUCUCUCAACUUCAUACAGCUUAUAUACCGCCGUUUAGACUUUAUUUAAUAUAUAACUCUAAAAAUGUAAAUUUAUCAAAAAUCAGGUCAAGGUGUAGCCAAUAGAUGAGCAAAAGUAAGUUACAUUAAAAAUAAUUUAAGAACAGAAAGUUAAAACUAACUAGAAAAAGAAUUUAUCUGUAUAUAUUAAUUAAAAUUUAAUAUAGAACACAACAUUAGAGAUGC
This 318-nucleotide ribosomal RNA is filed under the name Pholcus dade. RNAcentral's name for it is "partial 12S ribosomal RNA". The record is from RNAcentral. Lineage: Eukaryota; Metazoa; Arthropoda; Arachnida; Araneae; Pholcidae.